GCAGGGGAGACUUCAUUAAACAUUUAUGAACACUUGCUUCCCGCAAGAGGUGUCAGAAAAGGUACCACAGGGAUAACUGGCUUGUGGCAGCCAAGCGUUCUUAGCGACGUUUCUUUUUGAUCCUUCGAUGUCGGCUCUUCCUAUCAUUGCGAAGCAGAAUUCGCCAAGCGUUGGAUUGUUCACCCACCAACAGGGAACGUGAGCUGGGUUUAGACCGUCGUGAGACAGGUUAGUUUUACCCUGC
RNAcentral lists this non-coding RNA (244 nucleotides) under Lottia gigantea (owl limpet). Its description in RNAcentral is "Archaeal large subunit ribosomal RNA". It matches the Rfam family "Eukaryotic large subunit ribosomal RNA", at positions 2779 to 2997 of the family's 3401-position model. The record is from Rfam by way of RNAcentral. Lineage: Eukaryota; Metazoa; Mollusca; Gastropoda; Lottiidae.